RNAcentral lists this ribosomal RNA (425 nucleotides) under uncultured bacterium. Its description in RNAcentral is "bacterial SSU rRNA". It matches the Rfam family "Bacterial small subunit ribosomal RNA", at positions 354 to 796 of the family's 1533-position model. The record is from RNAcentral.
GUGGGGAAUAUUGGACAAUGGGCGCAAGCCUGAUCCAGCAAUGCCGCGUGGAUGAAGAAGGUUUUCGGAUUGUAAAGUCCUUUCGACGGGGACGAUGAUGACGGUACCCGUAGAAGAAGCCCCGGCUAACUUCGUGCCAGCAGCCGCGGUAAUACGAAGGGGGCUAGCGUUGCUCGGAAUGACUGGGCGUAAAGGGCGCGUAGGCGGAAUGCUUUGUCGGGCGUGAAAUUCCAGGGCUUAACCUUGGGGCUGCGUUCGAGACGGGUAUUCUAGAGUUUGGAAGAGGGUCGUGGAAUUCCCAGUGUAGAGGUGAAAUUCGUAGAUAUUGGGAAGAACACCGGUGGCGAAGGCGGCGACCUGGUCCUUGACUGACGCUGAGGCGCGAAAGCGUGGGGAGCAAACAGGAUUAGAAACCCGUGUAGUCC